GAGGAGGUGAUUUGUAUUUUACCUAUACCAAUGAUGUGACCCUGAUUAUUGUCUCCAAACGUCACUGCACCUCCCUUUUUAGGCUCUAGGGUGAAGAAUUGCUCCUUGUCACCCGUCAUGUGUCUUGAGCAGCCACUAUCCAAGUACCAACAGUUUUUGUCGACUUUGGCUGCAAGACACUCCUACAUAAGGAAAUCAUACAAUUUUAGGUACCCAAGUUUUCUUGGGUCC
This 231-nucleotide long non-coding RNA is filed under the name Phoenix dactylifera (date palm). RNAcentral describes it as "long non-coding RNA (PDAC_LNC009425)". Lineage: Eukaryota; Viridiplantae; Streptophyta; Magnoliopsida; Arecales; Arecaceae. The record is from RNAcentral.